GACAGAGAAUUAAACGAGUUGAAUAAACGUCUGGAGCAGAAAGAGGUGUGAUUCUAUUACAUAUUAAUUGGUUCAUAUUAUUCUUCCAACUAAAAUUUAAGGGGUUUUUAGACUUUGGUACGCCUAAAUAAUACCUAUUUAGGAAAUGGGACGCUUUUAAUUGGUAUUUAGAGUUUGGGGCACUUUCCGUGAGUUGACUAUGUUGACUGUUGUUUGCUUGUUAAUUUUUUUUAAAAUGAUAAUAUUACCCCUCUAUGUGUUUAGCACGAGAUUGAAUUUUAAUAACAAAACCGUUACACGUGUCAUUAUAUUAUCCAUUGAUUCCAUCUUAUGGUUGAUAAAUUGACAUGUGUCGUUAUACCAUCACUUGCAAAACUUUCAGGAUUUUAGUUAUUAGAGAAGAAGACACCCUGUGUUAAAUAAAAUUAGGGAAUAGGACACCUGUGCGGGGUAUUAUGGGUAUUUAUAAAAUAUGAGUUCUUUGACUUGAGUCAACGGUUAGUCAUAGCAGUCAACUGACGGGAAGGUGCCCCAUACUCUAAAUACCAAUUAAAAGCGUCCCAUUUCCUAGAUAGGCAUUAAUUAGGUGGCCUAAAGUCUAAAAACCCCAAAAUUUAAUUGUAUAUCUGAUUAGCCAUAUGAUCGAACAGCUAAGGUAGGAUGAUAGAAGAAAUGAAUAUGAACGGCUUAAACAUCAAUCUUUGAUCCAGUGUAAGUUUACCCAUUUUUGAAUUUCCUCACUUUAACUUUUAUGUUUUAUGCUUAUAUCAACAUGUUGAUUCACACCUAAAUCAAUGAAAGCUUUUCUCUUGCAGGUACUUCAAAGACAGACAGAACAGGCCGCAAUGGACGCCAAGAGGUUAAAGGAGUUGCUAGAAGCUCGUAAGUUGUCCGCAUGUGAUAGCUCAGUUGAAUAAUUUUCUUUAUUGCAAGAGGAGAUGAUUUCCAUGAAUUGGAUUACUAUGGUAGUCAUAGCUUGGGGACAGGGGUAUAAUUUCUGCCAAUUUUACUCUUAAUAAAUAGACAAGUUUAUUGUUCUAGCUACUUGAAUGAACACUAUUUUCAGAGUUGUCAGUAAAUUUCCCAGAGUUCUUGUAGAUUAACUAGAUUGUUGGAGCCCUCAAGCUACUCUUAUAUCAGCGAACAGUUGCAUAGACCUUCCAACAUAUAAAGCUAGGUUUUGUAGAACAACGUAAUGUUAUUUCUACUAUACUUAAAAAUGAUUUAUUCUGUAAUACAAAUGUUGCAGAUGGGAGUUAUCUGAGCAAUGGUUACCUUGACACCCCGAUAGACUGGAUACCUGGAAUGAGAAAUAUGACUUAAGAACCUGCCAAGCAUUAUUAAAACAACUGAUCGUGAUGAUAUCUUUGGCAAACAACCAUUGAAGGACACAUAAUAUAAACAAUUUUGAGAUAUUAGUGUCUAUGGAGUCAUGUAGAUCUCUUAUUUUUAUCGACUAAUGAUGACUGGGGUCUCUUUUGUACUUGAAAAUAAAUUAGAACCGUAGAAAUUGAAUUACUUAGUAUAAGAAUAAAUACUACAGUGAAGGCAUGAUGCCAUAUCUCUAUGCUUUUUUAGGUUACUAAUAACUUAGCAUGCUUUCACUUGCCAAACUGUCAUUAUUAGGAACUUCAUGUUGAUAAGCUACAUAAUGCAAUGAAGCAACACAAAGCAGGCAGCGAAGCAAUCAAAACGACAUUUUCCUGCGUGUACAGUUUCCUUUUCAGGUACAUAUUAAAUCUUUUAUUUUUAUCUUUCCUCGCCUAUUAUGUACUGAUUUCAAUUUGAAUUUGCUUAUCUGUGGUAAAGUGAAUGGAACCUCGUUUUGAAACAUCUCACCGCGCUCGAACAACUGACAAUCAACAAUUGUCCUAUAUUGGCUAAAUGACUCAGAGAAAGAGAAAUCUCAAGCUGUGUUAGCUCAAAGUCACACUCUUACAAGAUCUCCGUCCAUUUGGUGGAAUUGAAUGUUCUUGAGUAUCCAUUGGAGCAGUGGAAUCAGGUAUUCUUCGAAAACCUCUUUAUUUGUCUUCUCUUUAGUUUUGAGAAAUGCAUAUAUGUAAUCAUAUAACAACAGUAUCCUUUUAUCUUCUUAUGAUAUAGAAUACAUCUUAUUUGAGCCAUAGAAAGCGCCAUUUUCCACUGUCGUGCAGAGUAUCCUCCAGAGGUAUAUAUGUGCUCCAAUAUAUAUAUGAUAUUGGUUGCCAUUUAUUUCCCUUCUUUUCUGUGGGAACUUCUAUUUUGUGGUCUACCGUCUACGUCUACCCAAUGUUUUGUUGACAUUUUUAUAGUAAAAUUUAAGAAUUCUAUAAAUUCACGCAAUUACUCAGAAUCUAGAGAUCCAGGGUUUACUUUCUCAUAAAUUCUCUGGCGCACUUCUGAAUUUUUUCUUAGGAAUGAAAGUAGCUUUUUCAUAUUAACUCUUUGACUCUUUCAUCGUCUCCCUUUGACAUUCCACCAUUUGUUACAGGACUGUUCUGAUUAUAAAGGAACCAAUAAGGAAGUAAAGAGCCUUGACUGACGGUUUGGGGUUGAUGUUCACCAAGUUCCUGAUCAAGAAAGGGUCCAUUUUCAGAUUAUCUGGGGUUGACUACCAAAAGGAGCUAAUACUUGAAGCUCACCAAGCUGGCGUCAAGGUUGUUCACCAAGUGAGUUAAAUCAUUACACUGAAGCACUACUUAUAUGCUGGAAAUCGAACAUGAUCUAGAGAGAACCAACUACCCGUCACCUUGCAGGCUUGCACCUCACCAUCUCAGUUGAUGGAGGUAUAAUGGAAACUGAGAAAGAGAAAUUUAGUACAUAUUUUAUGCUUGAACAACUGAGAACUUAUGAUUGUCCUAUUUUGGCUUAGCGAUUCAGAAAAGGAGAAAUCUCAAGCUCUAGUUCACACUUUACAACAUCCAAAUUAUUAUAAAUAGGCAUGUUAUUUACAACAGGGCAAGUGCUUCACAGCUAAUUCUCACGUGCCUCGCCCG
RNAcentral lists this long non-coding RNA (2975 nucleotides) under Aquilegia coerulea. Its description in RNAcentral is "long non-coding RNA (ACOE_LNC001614)". Lineage: Eukaryota; Viridiplantae; Streptophyta; Magnoliopsida; Ranunculales; Ranunculaceae. The record is from RNAcentral.